AGUAAAAGUCGUAACAAGGUCUCCGUAGGUGAACCUGCGGAGGGAUCAUUACAAGUGACCCCGGUCUAACCACCGGGAUGUUCAUAACCCUUUGUUGUCCGACUCUGUUGCCUCCGGGGCGACCCUGCCUUCGGGCGGGGGCUCCGGGUGGACACUUCAAACUCUUGCGUAACUUUGCAGUCUGAGUAAACUUAAUUAAUAAAUUAAAACUUUUAACAACGGAUCUCUUGGUUCUGGCAUCGAUGAAGAACGCAGCGAAAUGCGAUAAGUAAUGUGAAUUGCAGAAUUCAGUGAAUCAUCGAAUCUUUGAACGCACAUUGCGCCCCCCGGUAUUCCGGGGGGCAUGCCUGUUCGAGCGUCAUUUCACCACUCAAGCCUCGCUUGGUAUUGGGCAACGCGGUCCGCCGCGUGCCUCAAAUCGACCGGCUGGGUCUUCUGUCCCCUAAGCGUUGUGGAAACUAUUCGCUAAAGGGUGCUCGGGAGGCUACGCCGUAAAACAAACCCAUUUCUAAGGUUGACCUCGGAUCAGGUAGGGAUACCCGCUGAACUUAAGCAUAUCAAUAAGCGGAGGAAAAGAAACCAACAGGGAUUGCCCCAGUAACG
This 603-nucleotide ribosomal RNA is filed under the name uncultured fungus. Its description in RNAcentral is "eukaryotic LSU rRNA". The stretch from base 208 to 361 matches the Rfam family "5.8S ribosomal RNA". The record is from RNAcentral. Lineage: Eukaryota; Fungi.